AGUAAGGUAAGCUAAUUAAGCU
Molecule: transfer RNA, 22 nt
Filed under: Grandidierina rubrocaudata
Lineage: Eukaryota; Metazoa; Chordata; Lepidosauria; Squamata; Scincidae
Also listed under: 1 other name
Description: partial tRNA-Met
Source: RNAcentral